Molecule: ribosomal RNA, 2916 nt
Filed under: Klebsiella pneumoniae
Lineage: Bacteria; Pseudomonadati; Pseudomonadota; Gammaproteobacteria; Enterobacterales; Enterobacteriaceae
Description: 23S ribosomal RNA
Rfam family: Bacterial large subunit ribosomal RNA
Source: RNAcentral
GGGUUGUGAGGUUAAGCGACUAAGCGUACACGGUGGAUGCCCUGGCAGUCAGAGGCGAUGAAGGACGUGCUAAUCUGCGAAAAGCGUCGGUAAGGUGAUAUGAACCGUUAUAACCGGCGAUGUCCGAAUGGGGAAACCCAGUGCAAUUCGUUGCACUAUCGUUAACUGAAUACAUAGGUUAACGAGGCGAACCGGGGGAACUGAAACAUCUAAGUACCCCGAGGAAAAGAAAUCAACCGAGAUUCCCCCAGUAGCGGCGAGCGAACGGGGAGCAGCCCAGAGUCUGAAUCAGCUUGUGUGUUAGUGGAACGGUCUGGAAAGUCCGACGGUACAGGGUGAUAGUCCCGUACACCAAAAUGCACAGGCUGUGAACUCGAAGAGUAGGGCGGGACACGUGGUAUCCUGUCUGAAUAUGGGGGGACCAUCCUCCAAGGCUAAAUACUCCUGACUGACCGAUAGUGAACCAGUACCGUGAGGGAAAGGCGAAAAGAACCCCGGCGAGGGGAGUGAAAAAGAACCUGAAACCGUGUACGUACAAGCAGUGGGAGCACCUUCGGGUGUGACUGCGUACCUUUGUAUAAUGGGUCAGCGACUUAUAUUCUGUAGCAAGGUUAACCGUAUAGGGAGCCGCAGGGAAACCGAGUCUUAACUGGGCGUUAAGUUGCAGGGUAUAGACCCGAAACCCGGUGAUCUAGCCAUGGGCAGGUUGAAGGUUGGGUAACACUAACUGGAGGACCGAACCGACUAAUGUUGAAAAAUUAGCGGAUGACUUGUGGCUGGGGGUGAAAGGCCAAUCAAACCGGGAGAUAGCUGGUUCUCCCGAAAGCUAUUUAGGUAGCGCCUCGUGAAUUCAUCUUCGGGGUAGAGCACUGUUUCGGCUAGGGGGUCAUCCCGACUUACCAACCCGAUGCAAACUACGAAUACCGAAGAAUGUUAUCACGGGAGACACACGGCGGGUGCUAACGUCCGUCGUGAAGAGGGAAACAACCCAGACCGCCAGCUAAGGUCCCAAAGUCAUGGUUAAGUGGGAAACGAUGUGGGAAGGCACAGACAGCCAGGAUGUUGGCUUAGAAGCAGCCAUCAUUUAAAGAAAGCGUAAUAGCUCACUGGUCGAGUCGGCCUGCGCGGAAGAUGUAACGGGGCUAAACCAUGCACCGAAGCUGCGGCAGCGACACUAUGUGUUGUUGGGUAGGGGAGCGUUCUGUAAGCCUGCGAAGGUGACCUGUGAGGGUUGCUGGAGGUAUCAGAAGUGCGAAUGCUGACAUAAGUAACGAUAAAGCGGGUGAAAAGCCCGCUCGCCGGAAGACCAAGGGUUCCUGUCCAACGUUAAUCGGGGCAGGGUGAGUCGACCCCUAAGGCGAGGCCGAAAGGCGUAGUCGAUGGGAAACAGGUUAAUAUUCCUGUACUUGGUGUUACUGCGAAGGGGGGACGGAGAAGGCUAUGUUAGCCGGGCGACGGUUGUCCCGGUUUAAGCAUGUAGGCUGGUUAUCCAGGCAAAUCCGGAUAAUCAAGGCUGAGGUGUGAUGACGAGGCACUACGGUGCUGAAGUAACAAAUGCCCUGCUUCCAGGAAAAGCCUCUAAGCAUCAGGUAACAUUAAAUCGUACCCCAAACCGACACAGGUGGUCAGGUAGAGAAUACCAAGGCGCUUGAGAGAACUCGGGUGAAGGAACUAGGCAAAAUGGUGCCGUAACUUCGGGAGAAGGCACGCUGGUGUGUAGGUGAAGUCCCUGCGGAUGGAGCUGAGACCAGUCGAAGAUACCAGCUGGCUGCAACUGUUUAUUAAAAACACAGCACUGUGCAAACACGAAAGUGGACGUAUACGGUGUGACGCCUGCCCGGUGCCGGAAGGUUAAUUGAUGGGGUUAUCCGUAAGGAGAAGCUCUUGAUCGAAGCCCGGUAAACGGCGGCCGUAACUAUAACGGUCCUAAGGUAGCGAAAUUCCUUGUCGGGUAAGUUCCGACCUGCACGAAUGGCGUAAUGAUGGCCAGGCUGUCUCCACCCGAGACUCAGUGAAAUUGAACUCGCUGUGAAGAUGCAGUGUACCCGCGGCAAGACGGAAAGACCCCGUGAACCUUUACUAUAGCUUGACACUGAACAUUGAGCCUUGAUGUGUAGGAUAGGUGGGAGGCUUUGAAGCGUGGACGCCAGUCUGCGUGGAGCCAACCUUGAAAUACCACCCUUUAAUGUUUGAUGUUCUAACGUUGGCCCCUUAUCGGGGUUGCGGACAGUGUCUGGUGGGUAGUUUGACUGGGGCGGUCUCCUCCCAAAGCGUAACGGAGGAGCACGAAGGUUAGCUAAUCCUGGUCGGACAUCAGGAGGUUAGUGCAAUGGCAUAAGCUAGCUUGACUGCGAGCGUGACGGCGCGAGCAGGUGCGAAAGCAGGUCAUAGUGAUCCGGUGGUUCUGAAUGGAAGGGCCAUCGCUCAACGGAUAAAAGGUACCCGGGGAUAACAGGCUGAUACCGCCCAAGAGUUCAUAUCGACGGCGGUGUUUGGCACCUCGAUGUCGGCUCAUCACAUCCCGGGCUGAAGUAGGUCCCAAGGGUAUGGCUGUUCGCCAUUUAAAGUGGUACGCGAGCUGGGUUUAGAACGUCGUGAGACAGUUCGGUCCCUAUCUGCCGUGGGCGCUGGAGAAUUGAGGGGGGCUGCUCCUAGUACGAGAGGACCGGAGUGGACGCAUCACUGGUGUUCGGGUUGUCAUGCCAAUGGCACUGCCCGGUAGCUAAAUGCGGAAGAGAUAAGUGCUGAAAGCAUCUAAGCACGAAACUUGCCCCGAGAUGAGUUCUCCCUGAGACUUUAAGUCUCCUGAAGGAACGUUGAAGACGACGACGUUGAUAGGCCGGGUGUGUAAGCGCAGCGAUGCGUUGAGCUAACCGGUACUAAUGAACCGUGAGGCUUAACCUUACAACGCCGAAG